Molecule: ribosomal RNA, 440 nt
Filed under: uncultured bacterium
Lineage: Bacteria
Description: partial 16S ribosomal RNA
Rfam family: Bacterial small subunit ribosomal RNA
Source: RNAcentral
CCUACGGGUGGCAGCAGUGGGGAAUAUUGCACAAUGGGGGAAACCCUGAUGCAGCGACGCCGCGUGAGCGAUGAAGUAUUUCGGUAUGUAAAGCUCUAUCAGCAGGGAAGAAGAUGACGGUACCUGACCAAGAAGCCCCGGCUAACUACGUGCCAGCAGCCGCGGUAAUACGUAGGGGGCAAGCGUUAUCCGGAUUUACUGGGUGUAACGGGAGCGCCGACGGCAGUGCAAGUCUGGAGUGAAAGCCCGGGGCGCAACCCCGGAACUGCUCUGGAAACUGUGCGGCUAGAGUACUGGAGGGGCAGGCGGAAGUCCUAGUGUAGCGGUGAAAUGCGUAGAUAUUAGGAGGAACACCGGUGGCGAAGGCGGCCUGCUGGACUGUGACUGACGUUGAGGCCCGACGGCGUGGGGAGCAAACAGGAUUAGAUACCCCAGUAGUC